CCUCCACCAAAUAAAUAAAUAAAUAAAACAAAAACCUGUGCUGAAAAGAUUAAUUAGAGAGCACACUGUGGAUUUAACAGCUAACCCCCCAUUGGUUAGCGCACAGACAGGCAGUCCUGUGCAGAAAGACCCUCUCUGGGCACAGACCCAUCUCCCCUGGGUUUAGUCCAACUCCACCAACUCCACAGUAGAGCACUGUAAGUCGGUGAAGAGCUACAGAGGUGAAUGUGGCCGUGCAAUCACAUGGCUCACCCCGAGCAACACGGCCACUGCUGAAACAGAGGCUUCCAGACAACAUCUAUCUUUAAGCGCUCACUAAGGAACCACUUACUGUGUCCGCCUCAGCCUGACCCCAAGUGACUCAGUAUGCAGAGCUGGAAGCAAAACCAGCUGGCCUCCAAAGCAAGCCAGGACACAGAAAUCAUUAGAAGUUAAUAUCAGUACCAGGUUUUGUAACCAAAUUUCUGUUUUCCAGCUGAAAAACAAGUUAAGGCAGAAGGUGCUUUUCCUAUUAAUGCCUAACCCCUUCUGUGAGCAGCACUGCUGCUGGUCUCAGAACCCAGGGGACUGUCACUGCAGGAGAAGGUUUAAAUAUCAACACCAGAUUCAAGAGUAGGAGCGAGCUGUGCUGAGCUCUCCCACCCACAGCACGGGGCCUGGCGCAAAGGGGAGCUGAGGAUGUUUACCGCAGGUUGGAGAGGGGAAUUCCACCUCCCAGUAUUGCUGUUAGCUUCUCAGCAGUGUUUGUACAAGUGCCAAGACUCCAUGAGCUCUGAGGCAGAGCUGUGAGGGUGUUGGCUUGCUCUCCACUGGAUCUGCAAGCUGAGGCUGGUUCGGGAGCAGUUCUUGCACUCCUCUGCAUGUGCCCACCUGGGCCCAGCCCUGCGCAGGGCAGCUCAUCUCAGUGUCAGCAGUUUGCUCGAGCAAGGUUUGAGUGCAUAAAUGCACAUUAAUCAGCUGCCAGGUUCCUGGUUCCUGCUGUUUUUCUCCUCGACUGUUCACAAUACUGAAAGUGCCCCAAGCUUGGCAGCAUUGGAAGCCCUCCAGAAGCACCCUACUCCUCACAGCAGCUGGAGAGACUUCACUAAUUGUUAAGGAAGAAAUUAGGUGACCAAGGCAUCAGCACGUUGAGACCUUAGCUACAGCCUGCUGCAGCCAAGAGAAAGCCUGUUUUCUUUAGGAGCUGUGGAUCUGCAGCUGAUGGGAGUCCCCAGACCCGAGCAGCCAGUCAUCCCCAGCCAUGGGGCACGUGGGGGUCUGAGGUCUCCUCGGCUUUGUCACUGUGAGGGAGCAGUAGGAACACAAGGAACUCAGGCAGGCUUCUGCCUGCAUAUGGAUAAUUACCUCAUCUAAUCUGCGUGUGAAGGAGCCCCUGGCACCAGCACAAAGCAAGCAGUACUCGGAACAAUAAAACCAGACUGGGAUUUUACCAUAACCCUUCCCAACAGGCAAACUGCAGCGCAGGCAGGUGUGUUCAAUGCAUUCUGACCUGGUGCUUUCCCAGAGACCAAUAAAACAUUCAGGAGAACUCAGAAGAAAACAGGGCUGUUGUUGUUUAUCUGAGCUUAUCUGCUCAGCCCUAUCACUAGGCUUGUUUCCCCAAAGUGCUCAUAAAGAGACAAGCCCUCAGUGGAGCAGGAACGCUUCCCAGCUGACACGAGGCUGGUGGCCAGGCAUGGGGAGCUGCACACACACACACACACACACACACACACACACACACACAGCCAUGCAGCCAUGCACUCCUGGAGCCGCAUCCCUACUCCAGGGUAAUGGCAAAGAAACCUUGGGUAACUCUAUCAGUUCAGGUAAGUUUUGUUUCCCCUGAGUGAAGAAGGUUUUGUUUCUGCUCUGCUCUCGUCUAUCUUGAGCAAUAAUCAUUAAGUGAAAUGAGUCCAGCAGGGCAAAGUCGCCAGGCUUAUCCAGCCCUUUGUACUUCCUUCCCACCAGGACUAACAAAAACAGGUGAAAUGUCGCAAUCCAACAGCAUGCAGUCAGAUAUCACCACUCCUGGCAGGCUCCAGAUAGCCAAAAAUUGCCUCUUUUUUCCAGCUCGAUCUAUUUUACUGCUGCAGAGAUGUCAGCCUUCCUGUUAGUCACCACACAAUGAGGCAUAGCAUGUCACCACUGAGCUGGGUCUGUCUAGAUGCCCUUUGUUCUUCUCUCUUCCACAUGUACCUCCUCAUGCCUUAGACAUCUGUUUUCUGUGGAUCUCCUCCUUGCACAGCUAAAGAGAAGGUUUAAACCUAAGGCGAGCAGGACUUCUGUCAGGCCUUUGCAAUAAGGAAGCAGCAUCUCUCUCCUGCAACAGUGUUUCUAUCAGAGAUCAAGAGAGGUCUUUCAAAGGCGUUUUGCAUGCAACUAUCCAUGACUGGUGUAGUUCUCACCAUAAGGAAGGCCAUGCAGCUUAGUGGUAUGAGAGUCGGGCGUGCUUGGAUCCUCGCUGGCAAAGCCAGUAACCUGACCUUGCAGACUUUGCAGGGUUAGUUCCAUCUCAGCCUAUUGUAUCUGUAUUGUUUUUCUGCUCAGACUGCAUGACAGGGAAAUAACCACAGGAAUUCUGCAGCUGUGUCCAACACUGCUGCAUUCCUGGCUUUUCAACUUACUGUAACUGCACGCUGAGUCACAAUUUUUCUUUUUUUUUCUUUUUUUUCUUUUUUUUUUGAUGGUCUAUUUUAUCCUGGGAAUGAAGAGCAUGGGAAGUUUGUCCCCCGUCUGAGUUUGCUCCUUGAAGGACGACAGCAGUGUGUCUCACAAGCACACGCUCCCCACACAGGUACCUGUGUGCGUGGUAGGGUGGAUCCACUCAGAUCUGCUGAACUUCACCUGGGAGGAUGUGGGGAAGGGAGCAGAUGGGCCCCAGCAUUGAGCCCUGGCAUGCACUGCCAGCCUCGCUCACUGCCUCACCCCGAGCACUUCUCGUCUCACCCAAAGACCUCCUUCAUACACAAUAACUUCCCAGGUGUGCCAAGACAAGCAUAACAUUGUCUUGGGACCCACAAACAUUUUGAAGCUUGAGUAAUGUUUGCUCUCCAACUCCAGCUGAGGCUGUUUACCCAGAGGUUUUGCAGUACGGUGACAUCUUCCUCUUCUCUCCUUACACAAUUAGGUGCACAACUCGCUCAUCCCAAUUAAUUUAGUCUGCUGAGAAAAAUAAAAUCCAUAUAUGAAAUCUAAUAGCACAGGUAGAUCUGGGGGGAUUAACAAUAUGAAGGAGAACAUUGUCAAGCAUAUAAUGAUAUUUUGUGGUAUGUUUGCUACAGCUAAUGCUUAUAAUUGCAUUUUGCAGUUUAAUUCUAGUAGCCAAAGG
Molecule: long non-coding RNA, 3310 nt
Organism: Gallus gallus (chicken)
Lineage: Eukaryota; Metazoa; Chordata; Aves; Galliformes; Phasianidae
Source: Ensembl